Cavia porcellus (domestic guinea pig) is the source of this 2564-nucleotide long non-coding RNA. RefSeq lists it as uncharacterized. The transcript is spliced from 2 exons. NCBI's taxonomy places the organism in Eukaryota, Metazoa, Chordata, Mammalia, Rodentia, Caviidae. The record is from RefSeq and is a predicted model, not a curated record.
AGAGAUGGCAGAUAGACAGGGAUUCCAGGGGCCCUGGGAACCGUCUGUGCCUCCAAGCCCUCCGCAUGACCUCCCUCUCCUGCAACAUAGAUCUGUGACUCUGUCCCGUGUCACCAACACCCCUGUGCAGUGGGUGGCACCAAGGAUAUGUUUUGCACAUUUUGUGGAUUGCAGUAUUUCACAGCAGAAGAGUGAAGACCUCAGGCUCAGAUGGGACACAGCAAGAGAGGACUACAUAACUACUGUUUUCACCCCCAUUUCACGGAGAGGAACACUGAGGGUCAGAAGAAAAUGACCAGCUCAGGAACCUACAAAUCCAGACUGGAAUCCAGCCUCAGCAGCUCCCGGCUCUGGUCUCUUCCCGCUGCCUUACAUCAUGCCGAUUGCGUUGCAUUGCAAGAGGUUGGAAUAUAUGUGAUUCCACGUUAUGCAGGUGUCAUGCUGUGGAGCUUCAUCCCUGGCCCAGCCCUGGUCUUUUCUCAGCACCAGCCUCACAGAUCUUCCAGCAGGCCUUGGACCCUCCCAAGUGCUGGCUUGAGCCUCAGCAGAGAUAUCUGCCUGACCCCUGACUGAGAUUCCUGCCAGGACCCCCUGAGACAAGCUGCCCCAGAGUCCUCCGGUGUCAGUAAGGACUGAGGACUGUGUGAACUUCCAGCCACCCUAAAAGACCCUUCUUGCCCAUGACUCCCCUCAGAUCCAACCCAACUGCCAGGUCCCAUCCCAGACUGGAGCUCUAUAAGCCCCGGAUGCAGCCUUUCUGUGUUCUGAGCCUCACUGGGCCCUGCUCAUUGUCACCUAAGCUUGUUUGACUUGGGACACCCAGAGAGACAGGAUGCCUUGAUAGAAUGACUUCACAGACCUGGAUAGCAGGCAACAGGUCCCAAGGGACAGGUGUGUGUGUGCACCCAUCCCACGCUAUGCCCACCCUCCUGGGGCAUUGUCUGAGGGACAUUGUCCGGAGUGCUGGGCGGGUCCUUUAUGGUCAGGCAUAAAAGGUAAUCAUUGACCAUAUCAAUGCUGCCCUGCGCGUCAGUGCCCGCCCAGGCAUGGCCCUGCCAGGGCCUGGAUUACUUUACAGUCACAUAAAAGGAACCUCCAGACUGGGCCCUGAGGACUUUGGCCCCAAGGGGGGAGCAGGAGGAGAGCGGCUCCCUAGAGACAGCCUUUUCUUGCAAUAUUUACUUGGCCAGAGAAGAGCUCUCUCCUUCUCUAUUAAACACUAGGAUUGUCUCAGCCCAGCCUACUAACCUGAAGAGUCCCUGUCACCAGGGGCCGUUUCCUCUUCUCCCUUCCCAGGACGCCCCAGCAUGCCCCUCCGGAGCUGGAAUUCAGGGCACAUCUGGGAAGCAGUCUCUUCAUAAGCUCUUUUUUAUAAGCUUUGCCUCAAUGAGCCCUGCCUAAGGUGAAACGGGUGCCAGGAUAAUCCCCAUGUCCUACACAGGAAAGUCUGGACUCAGAAAGCAAAAGACUUGCCCAAGUCACACAGCCAGGAAGUGGCCAGUCUCAUCAGCUCCUGGUGGUCACUCACCAGCGUGGCCCCAAGUCUUGUUUUUGUGUACAGCCAUCAGUGAGGAACAGCAGCCAGCGUACACCUCCCGUGUAUGUACAGUACUCCUGUGUCAUUUAUGGGAAGACUGGAGAUCUGUAUAUUCAACAUUAGCAAAUAUCUGCAUACCAGGGAAAGCUAUUCCCAUCCCAUCAUUCAAACCAGACCAGAUCAGCUCACACACUCCCCAGGUCUCUGUUCUAACAGGGCAGAGAGCCAAGCCAGGGACUGUGCUCAGCUUUGCAGGGAGGAUGGGGAGACCACAAAAGGACACUGCAGCGGAAGAAACGACUUUAGCAAAACCCUCAGAAAAUGGGAAUGAAUGUUUUCCUCGGACAAAAGCCCUGGGAACAUGAAUGGGUGUAGCUAGAGGAGGAGGGAAGGCAGCCAGCCCGAGACCUUAGCAUACCGUAGGGAGCCGCAGAGGGUUCGUGAGCAGGAGCAUAACUACCCGAGCCGCACUUUACAAACCCCACUCUCAGGCCACAGGGAGGAGCACAGGUUGCGAUCUUAGACUGAUAGCUCCAGAGUUAAGGAAUUCAGCCCUUUCGGGAGGUACUAGAGGAAGGCCAGUUAAGAGUUGGCACACUUCUGUCUGUGUCCCCUCUCUGCCUUUUAUCGGCUGCACAGCCUUGGGUGGGUUUGGGGACCACGAUGGCCUCUGUAUUCUCAUCUUUAAGUAGACAGCACAUACAUCGUAGUGACUAUGGCUCUGAGCAGAGGGGAAAAUCAACUGACCUGUGUGAUUCAGUGCCUGGCACAUAGCACACACUUGUCAAAUGGCAGAGUCUCUUGUUAUCAAAAUGUACCACUCCCUCAGCCAGGUGUGGCAGCACACGCCUGUAAUUCUAAUAACCAAAGGCUGAGGCAGGAGGAUCACAGGUUCAAACCCAGCUCGAGCAACUUAACAAGACUGCAUCUCAAAAUAAAACAAAAAGGUCUGAGGGUAGAGUUUAGCACUCCCUGAGUUCAACCCCUAGCGCUUCAAUAAGUAAAUAAAAAAUAUUUUUUAAAUGUA